UCUGAGGAGGUUAUAGGGAUUAGGAA
Molecule: unclassified non-coding RNA, 26 nt
Filed under: Mus musculus (house mouse)
Lineage: Eukaryota; Metazoa; Chordata; Mammalia; Rodentia; Muridae
Description: oocyte_clustered_small_RNA5566
Source: RNAcentral